This 492-nucleotide ribosomal RNA is filed under the name uncultured bacterium. Its description in RNAcentral is "partial 16S ribosomal RNA". It matches the Rfam family "Bacterial small subunit ribosomal RNA", at positions 28 to 507 of the family's 1533-position model. The record is from RNAcentral.
GGUGAACGCUGGCGGUAGGCCUAACACAUGCAAGUCGAACGGCAGCACAGUAAGAGCUUGCUCUUACGGGUGGCGAGUGGCGGACGGGUGAGGAAUACAUCGGAAUCUACUUUUUCGUGGGGGAUAACGUAGGGAAACUUACGCUAAUACCGCAUACGACCUACGGGUGAAAGCAGGGGAUCUUCGGACCUUGCGCGAUUGAAUGAGCCGAUGUCGGAUUAGCUAGUUGGCGGGGUAAAGGCCCACCAAGGCGACGAUCCGUAGCCGGUCUGAGAGGAUGAUCAGCCACACUGGAACUGAGACACGGUCCAGACUCCUACGGGAGGCAGCAGUGGGGAAUAUUGGACAAUGGGCGCAAGCCUGAUCCAGCCAUACCGCGUGGGUGAAGAAGGCCUUCGGGUUGUAAAGCCCUUUUGUUGGGAAAGAAAAGCAGCAGGUUAAUACCCCGCUGUUCUGACGGUACCCAAAGAAUAAGCACCGGCUAACUUCGUG